AGUGAACGCUGGCGGUAGGCCUAACACAUGCAAGUCGAACGGCAGCACAGGAGAGCUUGCUCUCUGGGUGGCGAGUGGCGGACGGGUGAGGAAUACAUCGGAAUCUACUCUGUCGUGGGGGAUGACGUAGGGAAACUUACGCUAAUACCGCAUACGACCUACGGGUGAAAGCAGGGGAUCUUCGGACCUUGCGCGAUUGAAUGAGCCGAUGUCGGCUUAGCUAGUUGGCGGGGUAAAGGCCCACCAAGGCGACGAUCCGUAGCUGGUCUGAGAGGAUGAUCAGCCACACUGGACCUGAGACACGGUCCAGACUCCUACGGGAGGAAGCAGUGGGGAAUAUGGGACAAUGGGCGCAAGCCUGAUCCAGCCAUACCGCGUGGGUGAAGAAGGCCUUCGGGUUGUAAAGCCCUUUUGUUGGGAAAGAAAUCCAGCUGGCUAAUACCCGGUUGGGAUGACGGUACCCAAAGAAUAAGCACCGGCUAACUUCGUGCCAGCCGCCGCAGUAA
RNAcentral lists this ribosomal RNA (506 nucleotides) under uncultured bacterium. RNAcentral's name for it is "partial 16S ribosomal RNA". It matches the Rfam family "Bacterial small subunit ribosomal RNA", at positions 29 to 523 of the family's 1533-position model. The record is from RNAcentral.